This 67-nucleotide small RNA is filed under the name Pontibacillus halophilus JSM 076056 = DSM 19796. RNAcentral describes it as "Bacillaceae-1 RNA". It matches the Rfam family "Bacillaceae-1 RNA". Lineage: Bacteria; Bacillati; Bacillota; Bacilli; Caryophanales; Bacillaceae. The record is from Rfam by way of RNAcentral.
ACUUAAGGAAGUUCGAUUAAAAUCGGCACGUCCUGUGCCAACAUCGAACGACCCUGCAUCCCGCAGG